This 274-nucleotide ribosomal RNA is filed under the name uncultured bacterium. RNAcentral's name for it is "partial 16S ribosomal RNA". It matches the Rfam family "Bacterial small subunit ribosomal RNA", at positions 523 to 796 of the family's 1533-position model. The record is from RNAcentral.
AUACGGAGGGUGCGAGCGUUAAUCGGAAUUACUGGGCGUAAAGCGUACGUAGGCGGUUUGCUAAGUCAGAUGUGAAAGCCCCGGGCUUAACCUGGGAACUGCAUUUGAUACUGGCAGACUAGAGUAUGAUAGAGGGGGGUAGAAUUCCUGGCGUAGCGGUGAAAUGCGUAGAUAUCAGGAGGAAUACCAGUGGCGAAGGCGGCCCCCUGGAUCAAUACUGACGCUGAGGUACGAAAGCGUGGGGAGCGAACAGGAUUAGAUACCCUAGUAGUCC